GGAUAACCUGCCCUUGGGACCGGCAUAACCCCGGGAAACUGGGGAUAAUUCCGGAUAACGCAUAUGUGCUGGAAUGCUUUAUGCGUAAAAUGGAUUCGUCUGCCCAAGGAUGGGUCUGCGGCCUAUCAGGUAGUAGUGGGUGUAAUGUACCUACUAGCCAGCGACGGGUACGGGUUGUGAGAGCAAGAGCCCGGAGAUGGAUUCUGAGACAUGAAUCCAGGCCCUACGGGGCGCAGCAGGCGCGAAAACUUUACAAUGCGGGAAACCGUGAUAAGGGGACACCGAGUGCCAGCAUCAUAUGCUGGCUGUCCAGGUGUGUAAAAUACACCUGUUAGCAAGGGCCGGGCAAGACCGGUGCCAGCCGCCGCGGUAACACCGGCGGCCCGAGUGGUGAUCGUGAUUAUUGGGUCUAAAGGGUCCGUAGCCGGUUUGGUCAGUCCUCCGGGAAAUCUGAUAGCUUAACUAUUAGGCUUUCGGGGGAUACUGCCAGACUUGGAACCGGGAGAGGUAAGAGGUACUACAGGGGUAGGAGUGAAAUCUUGUAAUCCCUGUGGGACCACCUGUGGCGAAGGCGUCUUACCAGAACGGGUUCGACGGUGAGGGACGAAAGCUAGGGGCACGAACCGGAUUAGAUACCCGGGUAGUCCUAGCCGUAAACGAUGCUCGCUAGGUGUCAGUCACGGUGCGACCGUGAUUGGUGCCGUAGGGAAGCCGUGAAGCGAGCCACCUGGGAAGUAUGGCCGCAAGGCUGAAACUUAA
RNAcentral lists this ribosomal RNA (759 nucleotides) under Methanosarcina sp. enrichment culture clone A4-23. RNAcentral describes it as "bacterial SSU rRNA". It matches the Rfam family "Archaeal small subunit ribosomal RNA", at positions 102 to 859 of the family's 1478-position model. The record is from RNAcentral. Lineage: Archaea; Methanobacteriati; Methanobacteriota; Methanomicrobia; Methanosarcinales; Methanosarcinaceae.